AACAUCACGUCUAGCAUCACCAGUACGCCUGUUUAUCAAAAACCUGUUUUUUUGAGAAUAAUUUAAAGUGUACUCUGCCCGCUGAUGAUUAGUAAAGGGCUGCUGUAAUUUGUAUGGCAAAGGUAGCCGAAUCCAUAGUCUUUUAAAUGAAGACAAGUUUGAAAGAUUGGAUGAAAUAUAUUCGUCUUUUUUUUAUUUAUAAAAUUUAGUUUUUAGUUAAAAAGCUAAAAUAAAAUUAAAAGACGAGAAGACCCUAUAGAGUUUUAUUUAAAUAACUUUUUAUAUUUUAUUUAUAAAUAAUUAAGAAAAUUAUUUAUUUAUAUUUUGUUGGGGUGAUAAAAAAACAAAUAAAACUUUUUUCAUAUGAAAAACAUAAAUAAGUGAUUAAUUGAUCCAAUUAUAUCGAAAAAAAGAUUAAACCCCUUAGGGAAACAUCGUACAAUUCUUUUUAGUUCUUAUAAGAAAAAGAGUUUGCGACCUCGAUGUUGGAUUAAGAUAAAAAUAAACCAAAAGUUCUUUGUUUUUUGAUCUGUU
Molecule: ribosomal RNA, 534 nt
Filed under: Frankliniella intonsa
Lineage: Eukaryota; Metazoa; Arthropoda; Insecta; Thysanoptera; Thripidae
Description: partial 16S ribosomal RNA
Source: RNAcentral